GUAAGAUGAUCGUGGCGGGGCGCAAAUCUUUUUGUCUGAUACAGUCUGCCGCUGUUAUGGUGAUUGUGUUGUUCAUGAAUAUAUUACUUAACUGUGUGCGAUGUUGGUUAAUCAUAGCAAACACGGCGCAUGUAAACCUCUGGUCGGCUGCAGGGUGCUCAUUUUAAUGUGAUUACAUGUUAGCGCAUGUCGCUCGGCGAGAUGAAGAAAGAGUUUAUCGCGACCAUCUCUUCACUCAGACAGAUGACGCACCUGUGCUCACGUGAGCACGGUUUCUCAUUAACCCCAUGAACUCCUGAUGCCAAAACACCGGGGGGGGGGGGGAAGCAUGCAGCCAUUCUCCAAGUCUGCAGCUCUUUAUCCGUAAUCUGAGGCCCGUCUUUGCGCGCAGGAGGAUUAUGUUUCUGAAGACCUCUUGGAGCUGUCACAGAUUCAGCGGCACUUAAAGGUGAUACCCGUGUUCUGCGGCUGUGCUGCCGUGCUGACGGUAGGUUUAAAAGGGCAUUUCCCACCCAGUACUCUGUGAAGCACAUUUGGGCAUGUCAUGGAGAGAGAGGUGGAACGGCAGGAAUGCAGAGAGGUGUGCAACGGUGCGAUUAUGAAAGCCUGCAGGCUGAUGAGUGUGCAUCAGAGAAGCUAAUGCUAACCGAAACGAGUCUCUCUUUUUCUUUGUCAGAUGUGACGUUUGAAAUGUUGCUGAGUAAUCGCACUUUCAGCUUGGCACACCAAUCAUUUCCAGCACUCGCUUCCUAUAUGAAUUUCUAACUGAUUUCUUCAUUGAACACAACGAUUAGACAGGUUGAUUAAUGCACAGGUAAAGAAACAAAAAAAAAAACAGAGUCUGGCAUAGAAAAAGCCGAAUGUUUGAAUGUGAAGGUUACAGGGAGACUCUAGAGAGAGAGAGACUCAAAUAGUCAUUUUCUGUGACUUCAUAUGGAAGGUUAAAAAGCUGCAGAAAUGAUUUUUUUGUGAGAAAUGAUAUCUCUCAAAAUGAAGAUGGCAGACAUUUUUGUUGUAGGGUCCAACAGCGCCCCCAGGUCUCUCUGGAGCUCUUGUAGAGAGUGAACUUAUGGAUUUUGUGUGUGAAAGAACAAGGCUCUCACUCUCCUGCAUUACUUGCAUAUAUUCAAUAUCAAAGCCACAAUGGCAUUUUAAAGGGACCACUGGCAGGCAGCCAAAACAUAGAGCCUCUCUCUUUUUGGUGGCUGUCGUGGCUUUCUUGCUUUCUGCCUUUAACUCAUGCCCUCGUGCUGAUGGCAGCACAGUGUCUGACUCUUCUCAAAGCUUAACCCAAGUGCUGGAGCGAGACAUUGGAUGUAUUAGGACAACUGCCUCCAUUUUAGGGAGGAGUUUUGCAGAGGAAGAUGGAUACCAUUUCCACAGUACCAGAAUCUGCAGCACGAUUCAGUUCUGACUAGAGGCAUCGCCUGCACUAUUUAGUUAUGAUUUUGUCAUUCAAUGUUCAUUUGUUACCCGGAUGUGGUACAUUUUCCUGAUAUUUGCUUUGAUUGCAUUUGUUGUGUUAGGAGAUUAGAUGGAAGAAUAUGAAUUGUGCUUUGGGUGCAUAGUUUACCAGUCUCGAAUAAAAGCAAAUGUGCUUUUUAUAGCUCUACUUUUGACUUUCCGCAUAGCUGUUACUAUGACUUUUGUUUUUUAAACGCACACAAAAAGAUUUGAAUCUUCUU
This is a long non-coding RNA of Cyprinus carpio carpio, 1685 nucleotides long. Lineage: Eukaryota; Metazoa; Chordata; Actinopteri; Cypriniformes; Cyprinidae. The record is from Ensembl.